AGGAUAAACGCUGGCGGCGUGCCUAACACAUGCAAGUCGAACGUCUCUUUCUUCGGGAAGAGGAGUGGCGGACGGGUGAGGAACACGUGGGAACCUGCCCUACAGUGAGGAAUACCGGCGAGAAAUCGCCGACAAGACCGCAUAGCCCUCUCUGGUGAGAGCCAGAGAAGGAAAGCUUCGCAAGAGGCGCUGGAGGAGGGGCCUGCGUCCGAUUAGCUAGUUGGUGGGGUAAGAGCCUACCAAGGCGUCGAUCGGUAGCUGGUCUGAGAGGACGAUCAGCCACACUGGGAUUGAGACACGGCCCAGACUCCUACGGGAGGCAGCAGUGGGGAAUCUUGCGCAAUGGGCGAAAGCCUGACGCAGCAACGCCGCGUGGAGGACGAAGGCUUUCUGAGUUGUAAACUCCUUUCAGCAGGGACGAUUGUGACGGUACCUGCAGAAGAAGCACCGGCCAACUACGCGCCAGCAGCCGCGGU
This 476-nucleotide ribosomal RNA is filed under the name uncultured bacterium. RNAcentral's name for it is "SSU rRNA". It matches the Rfam family "Bacterial small subunit ribosomal RNA", at positions 26 to 521 of the family's 1533-position model. The record is from RNAcentral.